GCCGGGCGCGGUGGCUCACGCCUGUAAUCCCAGCACUGUGGGAGGCUGAGGCAGGAGGAUCACCUGAGGUCAGGAGUUCGCGACCAGCCUGACCAACAUGGAGAAACCCUGUCUCUA
Unclassified non-coding RNA from Pongo abelii (Sumatran orangutan), 117 nucleotides. It matches the Rfam family "Metazoan signal recognition particle RNA". Rfam says of the family: The signal recognition particle (SRP) is a universally conserved ribonucleoprotein. NCBI's taxonomy places the organism in Eukaryota, Metazoa, Chordata, Mammalia, Primates, Hominidae. The record is from Ensembl.